GGUUUGAUUAUGGCUCAGAUUGAACGCUGGCGGGAUGUUUUACACAUGCAAGUCGAACGGCAGCACGGACUUCGGUCUGGUGGCGAGUGGCGAACGGGUGAGUAAUGUAUCGGAACGUGCCUAGUAGCGGGGGAUAACUACGCGAAAGCGUAGCUAAUACCGCAUACGCAGCCCUUCAAAGUUGGGACCUUCGGGCCUCGCACUAUUAGAGCGGCCGAUAUCGGAUUAGCUAGUUGGUGGGGUAACGGCUCACCAAGGCGACGAUCCGUAGCUGGUUUGAGAGGACGACCAGCCACACUGGGACUGGAGACACGGCCCAGACUCCUACGGAGGCAGCAGUGGGGAAUUUUGGACAAUGGGGGGAAACCCUGAUCCAGCCAUCCCGCGUGUGCGAUGAAGGCCUUCGGGUUGUAAAGCACUUUUGGCAGGAAGAAACGGCACGGGAUAAUACCCCGUGCAACUGACGGUACCUGCAGAAUAAGCACCGGCUAACUACGUGCCAGCAGCCGCGGUAAUACGUAGGGUGCAAGCGUUAAUCGGAAUUACUGGGCGUAAAGCGUGCGCAGGCGGUUCGGAAAGAAAGAUGUGAAAUCCCAGAGCUUAACUUUGGAACUGCAUUUUUAACUACCGAGCUAGAGUGUGUCAGAGGGAGGUGGAAUUCCGCGUGUAGCAGUGAAAUGCGUAGAUAUGCGGAGGAACACCGAUGGCGAAGGCAGCCUCCUGGAUAACACUGACGCUCAUGCACGAAAGCGUGGGGAGCAAACAGGAUUAGAUACCCUGGUAGUCCACGCCCUAAACGAUGUCAACUAGCUGUUGGGGCCUUCGGGCCUUGGUAGCGCAGCUAACGCGUGAAGUUGACCGCCUGGGGAGUACGGUCGCAAGAUUAAAACCUCAAAGGAAUUGACGGGGACCCGCACAAGCGGUGGAUGAUGUGGAUUAAUUGAUGCAACGCGAAAACCUUACCUACCCUUGACAUGUCUGGAAUCCCGAAGAGAUUUGGGAGUGCUCGCAAGAGAACCGGAACACAGGUGUUGCAUGGCUGUCGUCAGCUCGUGUCGUGAGAUGUUGGGUUAAGUCCCGCAACGAGCGCAACCCUGUCAUUAGUUGGUACGAAAGGGCACUCUAAUGAGACUGCCGGUGACAAACCGGAGGAAGGUGGGGAUGACGUCAAGUCCUCAUGGCCCCCUUAUGGGUAGGGCUUCACACGUCAUACAAUGGUCGGGACAGAGGGUCGCCAACCCGCGAGGGGGAGCCAAUCCCAGAAACCCGAUCGUAGUCCGGAUCGCAGUCUGCAACUCGACUGCGUGAAGUCGGAAUCGCUAGUAAUCGCGGAUCAGCAUGUCGCGGUGAAUACGUUCCCGGGUCUUGUACACACCGCCCGUCACACCAUGGGAGUGGGUUUUACCAGAAGUAGUUAGCUCAACCGUAAGGAGGGCGAUUACCACGGUAGGAUUCAUGACUGGGGUGAAGUCGUAACAAGGUAA
RNAcentral lists this ribosomal RNA (1484 nucleotides) under uncultured Bordetella sp. RNAcentral describes it as "partial 16S-23S ribosomal RNA intergenic spacer". It matches the Rfam family "Bacterial small subunit ribosomal RNA". The record is from RNAcentral. Lineage: Bacteria; Pseudomonadati; Pseudomonadota; Betaproteobacteria; Burkholderiales; Alcaligenaceae.